RNAcentral lists this ribosomal RNA (358 nucleotides) under uncultured bacterium. RNAcentral describes it as "bacterial SSU rRNA". It matches the Rfam family "Bacterial small subunit ribosomal RNA", at positions 917 to 1294 of the family's 1533-position model. The record is from RNAcentral.
GGACCCGCACAAGUAGUGGAGCAUGUGGUUUAAUUCGAAGAUACGCGCAGAACCUUACCAACACUUGACAUGUUCGUCGCGACUUUAAGAGAUUAAAGUUUUCGGUUCGGCCGGACAGAACACAGGUGCUGCAUGGCUGUCGUCAGCUCGUGUCGUGAGAUGUUGGGUUAAGUCCCGCAACGAGCGCAACCCACAUCCCUAGUUGCCAGCAGUUCGGCUGGGCACUCUAUGGAAACUGCCCGUGAUAAGCGGGAGGAAGGUGUGGAUGACGUCAAGUCCUCAUGGCCCUUACGGGUUGGGCUACACACGUGCUACAAUGGUAGUGACAAUGGUUAAUCCCAAAAAGCUAUCUCAGUUC